CUCUAUAGUGAAAUAUUAAACCUCCGAGGUAGUAAUAGUUAUAUGCUUCAAACCUAAAGAAUUUGGCGGCAGCUAACCUUAUCAGAGAGACCUGUUAGUUAAUUUGACAAUCCACAUUCUAUCUUACUUUUCUUAUAUUUGCAUACCGUCAUCUAAAUUUUAUUUUUAAAAUAAUAAUUCUAAAGGAGACAAAUAUGUUAGAUCAACGCGCAGUUUAUAGAAAAGCCCUUUAUGGGUCUCAAUUUAUAUUAAGUAGAAAAAAUAGCGAAACUAUUUUUAAAAGAGGAUUUGAAUGUAAUCUAGUUUUAAUAUGACAAAAUGAAAAAGCCAUUAGCCGU
Molecule: ribosomal RNA, 338 nt
Filed under: Asellus aquaticus
Lineage: Eukaryota; Metazoa; Arthropoda; Malacostraca; Isopoda; Asellidae
Description: partial 12S ribosomal RNA
Source: RNAcentral